GAUGAACGCUGGCGGCGUGCCUCAGACAUGCAAGUCGAACGAUUAAAGCUCUCUUCGGAGAGUGUAUAGAGUGGCGCACGGGUGAGUAACACGUAAGUAAUCUGCCUUUGAGUGGGGAAUAACGUCCGGAAACGGACGCUAAUACCGCAUAAUGCAGCGGCAUCGCAAGAUGACAGUUGUUAAAGAUUUAUCGCUUGAAGAGGAGCUUGCGGCAGAUUAGCUAGUUGGUAAGGUAAUGGCUUACCAAGGCUACGAUCUGUAACCGGUCUAAGAGGACGGUCGGUCACACUGACACUGAAUAACGGGUCAGACUCCUACGGGAGGCAGCAGUCGGGAAUUUUGGGCAAUGGGCGAAAGCCUGACCCAGCAACGCCGCGUGAAGGAUGAAGUAUUUCGGUAUGUAAACUUCGAAAGAAUGGGAAGAAUAAAUGACGGUACCAUUUAUAAGGUCCGGCUAACUACGUGCCAGCCGCCGCUGUAA
RNAcentral lists this ribosomal RNA (481 nucleotides) under uncultured bacterium. RNAcentral's name for it is "partial 16S ribosomal RNA". It matches the Rfam family "Bacterial small subunit ribosomal RNA", at positions 28 to 523 of the family's 1533-position model. The record is from RNAcentral.